RNAcentral lists this small RNA (161 nucleotides) under Manacus vitellinus (golden-collared manakin). RNAcentral's name for it is "TUC338 (ENSMVIG00005003956.1)". The record is from RNAcentral. Lineage: Eukaryota; Metazoa; Chordata; Aves; Passeriformes; Pipridae.
UUCAGAGAACUGGAAAGUUAAGUUCUGAAUUUGCCCACAGAGGAUGUAGAGCACAGGCAAGUGUCUGCUCCACAGCACUGACAAGUCUCAGCCCUGACCCAAAGAGACCCAGCCAGCAGGGAUGAGGUGGUAGCUUCCUCUUCAUUAAUCCCUUAGGGGCU